AUCUGCAGCCAUACCACCCUGAACGUGCCCGAUCUCAUCUGAUCUCGGAAGCUUAGCAGGGUCAGGCCUCUAGUGCUUGGAUGGGAGACCGCCUGGGAAUACCAGGUGCUGUAGUCU
Molecule: ribosomal RNA, 117 nt
Filed under: Rhinopithecus bieti (black snub-nosed monkey)
Lineage: Eukaryota; Metazoa; Chordata; Mammalia; Primates; Cercopithecidae
Source: RNAcentral